Long non-coding RNA from Neopelma chrysocephalum (saffron-crested tyrant-manakin), 1711 nucleotides. RefSeq lists it as uncharacterized. NCBI's taxonomy places the organism in Eukaryota, Metazoa, Chordata, Aves, Passeriformes, Pipridae. The record is from RefSeq and is a predicted model, not a curated record. The transcript has 4 exons.
GGCACUUUGCACCUAACUACUCAUGAAACAACACUGUUAUUCUCACACAGCAGGUGUAAGCAGAAGAAACAGAGGCAUAACAACUUAGCAAUGCAAAAUGAGCUCCAGGCAUCAGGUAGGUCAAAAAGAAACUAUCAAAUUAUUUUCACCUUCAGCCCCUGCAAAUUGGGAUCAAGAAAGGUGGAACAUCUCCUGUUGACAAGCUCCCUCGCACAACCAGUGCUGCAAAAAGCUGUCAAUAAGGACAAUUUGCUUCAUGGGUCUGGCUCCAGUUUAAAUUUCAUGAAAGUCAAAGUGGCAGAAGUAGAAAUGUUCCUCCUUUAUUAUGGACCCUGAAAUAUGCACAAUUUAGUGGAGAGCUGUGGAGACCAAGAAAGUAAAAAAUUGUCUUUUUCUCUCAGAAGGAUCCAUAAACACUACAAGUCUGGCACAUUACGAGUCCCUUGGCUGGCUAAACUCAAAUUAACUAAACUUAUAUCACUAAUUUGUAAGUUCUGAAGAGGAAUCCAGGUCACUCCUUGAGAAACAAUAUUUUUGACAUUUGAAAGAAUAUCUGCAUCUUUGAAAGAUGGUAUGCAUUAUUGUAGACACAGAUUGGGAAGACCUGCUUUGGAAGUGAUGAGAAUAGUCAAACCAAACUGUGAUAAGUUCUGUAGGCACUGAUAAGAAGCUAAAGCCAAUGGAGUGGUGCCGUAAAUUUUUAUUUUAUUCGAGGUGGAGGAGGCAUUGCACUAUCUAGUGAUCUUUCUGCUGAAAAUAUCAAGCACAGAGAAAGGGAUGAGUUUGGUUUUUAGUAUCCACCCCAAAUUCAAUCAGCAAGAUUAAAAUCCACUACGAUGUGCAUGCAAAGCAUGUAUCUCCUACAAACAGAAAAUGUAUUCUGAGUGCUCUUUCAUCUGCCACAGCAGACCAGAGUUACACUGCUCACCAUUCAAGAAAGAAUUUAAGUUGAUGGUGGUGGGUUUGGUUUUUCUGCUGUUUGUUUGUUUGUGUUAGUUUUGUUUGUUUUGUUUUGGGGGUUUUUUGUUGUUGUUGUUUUGUUUUGUUUUAAUUAUUUUUGUUCUAUUUUUAUUUUAAAGCUGCUCUGUUGUUGUGAAACCCUAAUGGUCUUCCUAUCACUCAAACAGCCAGAAUAUGUGAAGUUAUCCAUUAUGACAAUGUUAUUAAUCCACUGUAACAAUAAACCAUGACUAUCUCUAGUGCAUUCUGCAUGUUGAAAUUCAUAUAAUUAUAUUAGUUAAUAAUGGGGGAUUUCUAUUUGCUCUCCUUUGUUGUUUUGGGUAUUUUUUCCAAACAGCUUUUCAUGAAACUUUCAAGUGUCUCCUACCCAUGAUUCCUUGUAGGUGCUAGGUUGUCACACCUUCUAUGUGUGAGGAAUCCCUUCUUCCUUCUCCUUUUUUUUUAUUAAUGACUGUAAUUACUAUUUGAAAAUUCUAUUCACCUUCUUUUGAGAAAGCACAUAAAAAUAGAAAAUCUCUUCAAAAUUAAGCAGUCCAUAAUGAUGAAACAGAACAAGACAGUGUUUAUCUAUUGACACUAGCAUGAUACAUUCAGCUAAAUUGAAAUUUGGAUUAUAUAUCUUUCUGCGUGUAUUUAGGAAAAACAUUUACCCAACCACAACCUUUGCUUCAGUUUCUUGAAGGAUAGAUUUGCUUUAUUCUCACCUCUGUGACUACAUAAACUAUCCAGCCUGGCCUGUAACAAAGGAAAA